UUUGAAUUACAGAAGUUCCUGUUCACACUGAGGGUCAUUCAAAGGAUGAUCUAGUGGAUACUUAAAGCUUCAAAAAGACUGUCCCUACAGCAAGAGGACCAGCCUAAACCAUACUCCACACAAGGGGAGCAGAUGCUUGUUAGAGACCUUUUACGAUGUAAUUAACCAAGCAGUUCAGAAACCUGGGGAACAAACACUAAAGGCAUUUUUACAAGUGAUGCAAAGAAAGCUUUUUGUUUGGAAUGCAUCCCUUGUGAAUGUUGUUAGUACGGUAUACAAAGCAAUAGAAAACCAUUUUUAAAUUGAAUGUAUAUUCUGGUCAAUGUAGAUUUAACUUCCAUUCUAUAAAUACAAGAAAU
Molecule: long non-coding RNA, 359 nt
Organism: Euleptes europaea (tarantolino)
Lineage: Eukaryota; Metazoa; Chordata; Lepidosauria; Squamata; Sphaerodactylidae
Exons: 2
Source: RefSeq, a predicted model, not a curated record